Molecule: long non-coding RNA, 1749 nt
Filed under: Homo sapiens (human)
Lineage: Eukaryota; Metazoa; Chordata; Mammalia; Primates; Hominidae
Description: HSALNT0078530
Source: RNAcentral
GAAAUUUCUAGAUGGCAAUGAAAUUGAAUUUAUCUGUGGUUGCGGUUAGCCAUUGGCAUUGAUAAUCACCACACAGCGGUAUUUUCUUUGAAGGUAGAUAGUUAGCACUCUCUAAACUAGAAAUUGCCCCCAUUUUAUCCAUUAUGACUCCGAGGCUUUUACAACAGAGCCAUAUAACUUCAGUCACCAGGGAGUUUUAGAACACUGAAGUUAGAAUGGAACCAUCACCGCUACUCUAUUAAUGUUGUAUCACUAUUCAGAUGCAGUUUAUUGCAGGGAACAGCUUAAACUCAAAUAUACUAGCAUCUAUACAAUCAUGACAACACUUAUUAGUUGGUACAUAACGUAUGGGCAGAGGCUGUGCUUGCCGGAGACUAUCUGUCUUUCAGGCUCAAGAAGCAAUGGCGAGUCAGCUGCUGUCGUGCCACAGUCUCUGUUUAUUAUGUUCUUAUUAUCUUUCUUAUUAUGAAAGGAAAGAGCUAAAUGUGUUCAUGUGUUUGCAGGAUGAUAGACAACUUAACCAUGUCAUAGGGCAACAGGAAGGACAGAAGUGGAGGGAAAAAGAGCAAGCAACUUUUCUUCUAUUCGAUUGGGAAGGAGUUUGGAACUGCAGACCCGUCAGCUAUAAGGAAGUCUGGUGUGAAUGCCCAGCCUUGCCCCAGAGGGGAAUGGGUCCUCACUGAGUACUCCUGCAUCCACCUGCUUUCCCAUCUCCCCGUUUGUACAGAAAAGAAGAUAAAGACAUUAUUUAAUUAUCCUCUUUGGGAUAUGAAAGUACCACGUGGAAGAUGGAGGCCAACUAUUUCUUCUUCAGGAGAGUCAAAAGAACCACAUUGAAGAAGAGGUUCACAACAGAUGCUAAAAAAUCUAAGGGUGCUCAUGGCCUGAAUACGUUUCCAGGCAGAGUUUGUGAGCAGAGUUCACAAAGGUGCGGAUGAAGACCGUUCGCUGGGCUUCACUAGUACAAAGACAGGCUGACAGUGCAAAGACGAAGAGGAACGGUCCCAGCCAUCAGGGAACUCAGCAGCUUGGAAGAUACUAAACAGCCACUCCUCCAGGAUCUUCUAGUUAGGAAAUUGAAGGCUCCGUCAUUGCUAUAGGCAUUUCAAGCUCGGCCAGUAGGCUCUGUAUAUUGACAGAGAUGAGAAAGACUGCUAUAGGUUAUGGCUCGUGUCCCAAGUUGUUGGGAAGGAACCUCUGGUUGCAGCAGGACUGACUGUACAAUUUGUGAGCCCAGUGUGAAAUGAAAAUGCAGGGCCCCUUGAUCAAAAAUUAUAAAAAAAUCUCAAGACAGCGCCAGCAGAGCAUUAAAACAAGCCCCAAGUCCCAGGCGCCACACAGCCUCGCUCUUCUGCAGUUCAGCUCUUCCUUUUACGUUCCUCUUCUGGCUACCUCAUUUAUCCUUCCGUAAACCUUCACUGAUGAGAGAUGUGGUAACCCAAGCAAGUCUAUCGUUCUUGCAACUAAAAUGAACCAGCACACUUAGGACACGACAGGGUUCCUGCUGUCAUUUCUUCCUCUUACCUUGUACCGUCUAAAAAUUGCAGGGAUGUAUUAAAAUGCUUUCUACUCCAUGUUAUUUUAGGUAAUAUUUAAUUAGGUUUUUAUGCUUUAAUACGAUGUCUGAUGUUCUGGAUCGUAUCCUCUAAUUUUUUCUACUAUAAUAAAGUUCCUGACACUAGUUUAGGAUGGACUGCAUCCUCUUCAUCAGAAGCCUUUGUCUUCCUUCUGCCUAAACUUCUGCCCCAG